This 301-nucleotide ribosomal RNA is filed under the name uncultured bacterium. RNAcentral's name for it is "partial 16S ribosomal RNA". It matches the Rfam family "Bacterial small subunit ribosomal RNA", at positions 509 to 807 of the family's 1533-position model. The record is from RNAcentral.
CAGUAGCCGCGGUAAUACGAAGGGGGCUAGCGUUAAUCGGAAUUACUGGGCGUAAAGCGUGCGUAGGCGGUUUGUUAAGUCUGUUGUGAAAUCCCCGGGCUCAACCUGGGAAUGGCAAUGGAUACUGGCAAGCUAGAGUGUGUCAGAGGAUGGUGGAAUUCCCGGUGUAGCGGUGAAAUGCGUAGAGAUCGGGAGGAACAUCAGUGGCGAAGGCGGCCAUCUGGGACAACACUGACGCUGAGGCACGAAAGCGUGGGGAGCAAACAGGAUUAGAUACCCGCGUAGUCCCUGUCUCUUAUAC